RNAcentral lists this long non-coding RNA (1603 nucleotides) under Canis lupus familiaris (dog). Its description in RNAcentral is "lncRNA (ENSCAFG00845008854.1)". The record is from RNAcentral. Lineage: Eukaryota; Metazoa; Chordata; Mammalia; Carnivora; Canidae.
UUCUAAUAACUGGUCAGGACAUCAUUUAAUCUCUUGGCUCUCUUGUUUAGGAAGAAUGGGUCACUUGCAAGGGCCAAUCAAGUACAAAAUAAAAAUACCCAUAUCUCAAACUAAGAAUGCACAGCUUUAAAUAGCAUUCAAAAUGUUUCUAGAUCUUUUUUUUUGUUGUUUUUCAGAUGGGAGGAAUUUACAGUAUUUGGCCUGUCGGAGAACAAAGAACACACCAGCUUCAGUGGACUGAUUAUGGAUACCUUCUACCUGCACAAUACCUUCUACCUGAGAAAACUGCUGCUCAACUCAGAGAUCUCUCUCAAAGGUCAGAAUCCUGACCUGAAGUGAUUUCUUCGCUUCAAAGAACUGAUGUCAGCUAUGAACAUAAUCAAACACAUAUAUAUGGUAAAACACAUACAAUAUUUUUUAAAAAGAUGUUAUUUCUGCCAUAUCCUGUCAAAUCUGAGCCUCUAUCUUUCUCACAUUUUCCCCUUCCUUUGCCUUGUAUGUAGGUAAGAAAAAAGAUUGUUAUUUGAUAAAAACCAGUCUAGUCUUAGCUAAUGCAAUAAGACAAGAAAACGAGAGGGAAAAAAAAAAGAUGUACAGUUUGAGAAAGAAGAUGUAAAAUUAUCUUCAUUCUCGGAUGACAUGGUCAUCAAUGUAGAAAAUCUGGAAGAGAGUACCUGGUGGCUCACUCGGUUAAUUAUCUGACUCUUAGUUUCAGCUCAGGUCAUGAUCUCAGGGUUAUGAGAUCAAGCACUGUGUCAGGCUCCCUGUUGGGCAUGGAGCCUGCUUAAGACUCUGUCUCUCCUUCUCCCUCUGCAACUUGACAUCCUUCUCUUCAAAAAAAAAAAAAAAAAAAGAGAGAGAGAGAAAAUCCAGAAGAAUUGACAAAGUAACUUCUAGAACUAAUGAGCAAUUAUACCAAGGUUGCAGGAUACAAGGAUAAUGUACAAAAACCAAUCACUUUCCUGUGUAGUAGCAAUGAACAAGUGGAAUUUGAAAUUAAAAACACAAUUCCAUUUACACUAGUGCCCUCAAAGUUAAUUACUUAGGUUAUAAAUUUAAUAAAAUAUUUAUACAUCUGUAUGAGGAAACCUACAAACUCUGAUGAACAAUUAGAGAAUAAAAUAAAUGAAGAGAUAUUUUGUGCUCAUGGAAAGGAAGAUUCAAUAUUGUCAAGAUAUUUGUUCUUCCAAAUUUGAUCUAUAGAUUAAAUGUAAUCCAAAUCAAAAUCCUAGCAAGUUAUUUGAUGGACAUUGACAAACUAAUCCUAAAGUUUAUAUGGAGAGGUAAAAGACCCAGAAUAGCCAGCACCAUAUUGAAGAUAAAGAACAAAGUUGGAGGACUGACACUACCUGAUUUCAAGAUUAGUAAAUUAGUGAAACUACAGUAAUCAAGACAGUGUGGUAUUGGUAUCUUUGACAAAGGAACAAAAGCAAUACAGUGGAGAAAAGAUCAUCUUUUCAACAAAUGAUCCUAGAAACAAGCAGAUACCCACAUGAGAAAAAUGAAGCUAAAUAAAGAUGUUACACUCUUCACAAAAAUUAAAUCAAAAUUGUUCAUGAUUGUGAAACUGUCAGUGCUACCCAGGGCAAUUUACACAUUUAAU